This 492-nucleotide ribosomal RNA is filed under the name uncultured bacterium. RNAcentral describes it as "partial 16S ribosomal RNA". It matches the Rfam family "Bacterial small subunit ribosomal RNA", at positions 29 to 507 of the family's 1533-position model. The record is from RNAcentral.
AGUGAACGCUGGCGGUAGGCCUAACACAUGCAAGUCGAACGGCAGCACAGUAAGAGCUUGCUCUUACGGGUGGCGAGUGGCGGACGGGUGAGGAAUACAUCGGAAUCUACUUUUUCGUGGGGGAUAACGUAGGGAAACUUACGCUAAUACCGCAUACGACCUACGGGUGAAAGCAGGGGAUCUUCGGACCUUGCGCGAUUGAAUGAGCCGAUGUCGGAUUAGCUAGUUGGCGGGGUAAAGGCCCACCAAGGCGACGAUCCGUAGCUGGUCUGAGAGGAUGAACAGCCACACUGGAACUGAGACACGGUCCAGACUCCUACGGGAGGCAGCAGUGGGGAAUAUUGGACAAUGGGCGCAAGCCUGAUCCAGCCAUACCGCGUGGGUGAAGAAGGCCUUCGGGUUGUAAAGCCCUUUUGUUGGGAAAGAAAAUCAGCAGGUUAAUACCCCGCUGUUCUGACGGUACCCAAAGAAUAAGCACCGGCUAACUUCGUG